UCCUGGUUAACCCAGGCAGUCCCCCUAGAGUGCCCAACCGAAUGCUGGCAACUAGGGGCGAGGGUUGCGCUCGUUGCGGGACUUAACCCAACAUCUCACGACACGAGCUGACGACAGCCAUGCAGCACCUGUGUUCCAGCCAGCCGAACUGAAGGACCCGAUCUCUCAGGCCCAUACUGGACAUGUCAAAGGUUGGUAAGGUUCUGCGCGUUGCUUCGAAUUAAACCACAUGCUCCGCUGCUUGUGCGGGUCCCCGUCAAUUCCUUUGAGUUUUAGCCUUGCGGCCGUACUCCCCAGGCGGGGCACUUAAUGCGUUAGCGUCGGCACGGGAGGAGUCGACACCUCCCACACCUAGUGCCCAUCGUUUACGGCGUGGACUAC
This 381-nucleotide unclassified non-coding RNA is filed under the name uncultured bacterium. Its description in RNAcentral is "contains 16S-23S intergenic spacer region". The record is from RNAcentral.